RNAcentral lists this ribosomal RNA (775 nucleotides) under uncultured Neocallimastigales. Its description in RNAcentral is "partial large subunit ribosomal RNA". It matches the Rfam family "Eukaryotic large subunit ribosomal RNA", at positions 24 to 646 of the family's 3401-position model. The record is from RNAcentral. Lineage: Eukaryota; Fungi; Neocallimastigomycota; Neocallimastigomycetes; Neocallimastigales.
UAUGUGAUCGUCUCUCGCAUAUCAAUAAGCGGAGGAAAAGAAACUAACAAGGAUUCCCCUAGUAACGGCGAGUGAAGCGGGAAGAGCUCAAAUUUGAAAUCUUAAAGGGUUUCCCUUUACGAAUUGUAGUUUAAAGAAGUGUUUUCUGUUGAGGUUUUGGUAAAAGUUCUUUGGAAUAGGACAUCAUAGAGGGUGAGAAUCCCGUAUUUGACCUUUACUUUCAACUUUGUGAUACACUUUCAAAGAGUCGGAUUGUUUGGGAAUGCAGUCCAAAAUGGGUGGUAAAUUUCAUCUAAAGCUAAAUAUUGGCGAGAGACCGAUAGCGAACAAGUACCGUGAGGGAAAGAUGAAAAGAACUUUGAAAAGAGAGUUAAACAGUACGUGAAAUUGUCAAAAGGGAAGCGUUUGACACCAGUGUUGUUUUUCUGAAAAUCAAUUAAAGAACUGUUUAUGCUAAGUUGUUUAGACUUUAUCAGCUAUCUGUUUAGUUUUGAGCUUUUCUUUAAUGCACUUUUCAGUUAACAAGUCAACAUCAAUUUCUUUUGCCUGUAAAAAAGCUUGAGGAAGGUGGCUAGAGAUUCGUCUUAAGUGUUUAUAGCCUCUUGCCUAUGCAGUCGGAGAGAUUGAGGUCUGCAGCGUAGAUCCUUCGGGGCUAAAUGCAUUUGUGCUAAGUUAUAGCAUUUUAUAGACAACUUGUUGACUAUGAUUUGUCUUGUAGCUUACUCGCUUAUGUUAUUUUACCUACGCUUAGGAUGUUGACACACGCGCGUGCUCG